CUAUGACUAUGCGACAAUUACCAUGACCUUCGGCUCCUAAUCUUGGGUCGGGGGCAUAACAACUAAAAUAGUAUCAGAGCAUAAGUGGAUAAAUUAUGAAACAUAGAAUCAGAUAUAGAAUGAGUGCAAGUGGAUAGACACUAGGAUCAUUAUGGUGUAGACCUAUGAUGAUGUAUUAUGAAAAAUUUUUAUGAUUUUUGGUUAAACAUUGAGAUUAUGUAUGAAAGGAUCGCAGGAGAUUAUGACAUGUAGAGUUUGAAAUAAGAUGGAUGAUCUAUGGAUCAUGAUAUGAUUAGUUA
RNAcentral lists this long non-coding RNA (299 nucleotides) under Elaeis guineensis (African oil palm). Its description in RNAcentral is "long non-coding RNA (EGUI_LNC040867)". The record is from RNAcentral. Lineage: Eukaryota; Viridiplantae; Streptophyta; Magnoliopsida; Arecales; Arecaceae.